GAUGAACGUUGGCGGCGUGCUUAACACAUGCAAGUCGAACGAACCUUCGGGUUAGUGGCGGACGGGUGAGUAACGCGUGAGAAUCUGCCCUCAGGAGGGGGAUAACGGUUGGAAACGACCGCUAAUACCCCAUAUGCCGAUAGGUGAAAUGAAUUUCGCCUGAGGAUGAGCUCGCGUCUGAUUAGCUUGUUGGUGAGGUAAUGGCUCACCAAGGCUUCGAUCAGUAGCUGGUCUGAGAGGAUGAUCAGCCACACUGGGACUGAGACACGGCCCAGACUCCUACGGGAGGCAGCAGUGGGGAAUUUUCCGCAAUGGGCGAAAGCCUGACGGAGCAACGCCGCGUGAGGGACGAAGGCCUCUGGGCUGUAAACCUCUUUUCUCAAGGAAGAAGAUAUGACGGUACUUGAGGAAUAAGCCACGGCUAAUUCCGUGCCAGCAGCCGCGGUAAUACGGGAGUGGCAAGCGUUAUCCGGAAUUAUUGGGCGUAAAGCGUCCGCAGGCGGCCUUUCAAGUCUGCUGUUAAAGCGUGGAGCUUAACUCCAUUAUGGCAGUGGAAACUGAUCGGCUUGAGUAUGGUAGGGGCAGAGGGAAUUCCCGGUGUAGCGGUGAAAUGCGUAGAUAUCGGGAAGAACACCAGUGGCGAAGGCGCCCUGCUGGGCCAUUACUGACGCUCAUGGACGAAAGCCAGGGGAGCGAAAGGGAUUAGAUACCCCUGUAGUCCUGGCCGUAAACGAUGAACACUAGGUGUCGGGGGAAUCGACCCCUUCGGUGUCGUAGCUAACGCGUUAAGUGUUCCGCCUGGGGAGUACGCACGCAAGUGUGAAACUCAAAGGAAUUGACGGGGGCCCGCACAAGCGGUGGAGUAUGUGGUUUAAUUCGAUGCAACGCGAAGAACCUUACCAGGGUUUGACAUCCUGAGAACCUCUUAGAAAUUUGAGGGUGCCUUCGGGAAUUCAGUGACAGGUGGUGCAUGGCUGUCGUCAGCUCGUGUCGUGAGAUGUUGGGUUAAGUCCCGCAACGAGCGCAACCCACGUUUUUAGUUGCCAGCAUUUAGUUGGGCACUCUAGAAAGACCGCCGGUGAUAAACCGGAGGAAGGUGUGGAUGACGUCAAGUCAUCAUGCCCCUUACACCCUGGGCUACACACGUACUACAAUGCUACGGACAAAGGGCAGCAAACUCGCGAGAGCUAGCAAAUCCCAUAAACCGUGGCUCAGUUCAGAUCGUAGGCUGCAACUCGCCUACGUGAAGUAGGAAUCGCUAGUAAUCGCAGGUCAGCAUACUGCGGUGAAUACGUUCCCGGGCCUUGUACACACCGCCCGUCACACCAUGGAAGUUGGCCAUGCCCGAAGUCGUUACUCCAACCCUUGUGGAGGAGGACGCCGAAGGUGGGGCUAAUGACUGGGGUGAAGUCGUAACAAGGUAGCCGUACCGGAAGGUGCGGCUGGAUCACCUCCU
This 1456-nucleotide ribosomal RNA is filed under the name uncultured marine bacterium. Its description in RNAcentral is "16S ribosomal RNA". It matches the Rfam family "Bacterial small subunit ribosomal RNA". The record is from RNAcentral.